RNAcentral lists this ribosomal RNA (253 nucleotides) under uncultured bacterium. RNAcentral's name for it is "partial 16S ribosomal RNA". It matches the Rfam family "Bacterial small subunit ribosomal RNA", at positions 524 to 776 of the family's 1533-position model. The record is from RNAcentral.
UACGGAGGGUGCAAGCGUUAAUCGGAAUUACUGGGCGUAAAGCGCGCGUAGGCGGCUUGAUCAGUCGGAUGUGAAAUCCCAGGGCUUAACCUUGGAACUGCAUUCGAUACUGUCAAGCUAGAGUACAGUAGAGGCAAGUGGAAUUUCAGGUGUAGCGGUGAAAUGCGUAGAUAUCUGAAGGAACAUCGGUGGCGAAGGCGACUUGCUGGACUGAUACUGACGCUGAGGUGCGAAAGCGUGGGGAGCAAACAGG